GUAUAUUUCUACCUAGAGAAGUUCUAUGGAAAAUGGGAUUGGAUCAAUUAGCCUUUGAUUCGAAUAAACAUAACACGUAUAAGCACACAAAAAGUUAUAUUACACAAGCAUAUUGUAAUAAACGUGCAUCCUAAUUGGGUGACCCUUUUGAGCCAAGGGUUUAGGCCUAACGAAUUUUGAAGAAAAUAUACGCCUUUUUAAAGCCAAUCCAUUAUCCCCCUAAAACCUUCAUAGGUAUACAUAAAUGGCAUAAAUGCCUACAAAAGUUUCACAAAAGGGAAACAAUCUUUAGGGAAAGGGAAAAUAACAUGAGAAGAAGAGUAAUGUCCCGCGUGGGGGAUAAUAAAUACUAGUUCCCGAAUGUUUCUUCUAUCGGCCUUCGCCCUUUUAGCUUUGUCCACUCCUCAUUAUUGGUGACAUCCGUUAAUGAUCAAGCGAUUGCCGUAUAACUGUGCCAUAGAUGUCAUGCAACUGUCCAAAUCGAUCAAUUUCUUGCUCAAUUUCUUUAUUAAUUGGUGUACGAUUGAGGCAUCCUUAUAAAGUAAGUAAAACAAGUCUUUUCCCGAACCCCCAAAGAAUAAUGAUUGGAUUAAACAAGCAUAUAUUUCUUCAACACAUAAAUAUGAUUCUUCUGUAAUUGACUCGGGGUCGAUAGACGCAGAGCAAGUUUUCUAAUGGGCCCAAUACCCUCCUCGGGUAUUAGGUUGUCCUAGGCUCAUGCCUAAAAUAGGGUUUUGGUUUUGUUCUAUCCUAGGUGUCUAGAGUGGGUUUGAAUCAGGUUCCCAAGCGGACAACUUGGGUUUGAAAAUACGAAUGGACACAAGACGACUAACGUGCUAAUAAACCAUUGUAUUUCCAACACAUUAUUUGGAACUGAACAACAGGGGCCGGGACAUCCACGAAACCCCAAAACAGUUUAUAAAUAAAUGCAGGAAUAUGCUAUGAGAUGCAAUAAUUAAAUACCGCAAAAUCAAAACAUAUAAACACGUAAACAAUUAAUCAAAAGACUAAAUCAAACAUUUGGUUAGAACCUAGUUAAAAUGUCCCUAGCAGAGUCUUCAGCUUUGUUUUGACGAAAUUUUGACUUUUAAAGAGAGUCGCCACAUAAUUUUGAAAAGAAAUUAAGAAACCUUUAUAAAAUACAUAGACGAUUCAAAACAGGAAAAUCGUUUAAGUUAGAGAUUAUGAAUAAGCGCUUCCUAUUAACGCUUUAGGAAGGUGUUAGGCACCUAAAACGUCCGCUAGCUUACGGUUAUCCGGACUGUUUGAAAACAUCUUUUGACUAACUUCAAAAAAGAUUGAUUUGUUGAAAAGUAAUUGAUUUUUUAGAAAAGACUAGUGUAAAAUAAAUUUAGGCGACUUAGUAGGGAUUUUAACUAAGUUUAAGCAAAAUGACUAAGCAAAUAAACAUAUAAAAGAGGAAGGGAAGGAGAAAGUAAAAGAUUCGGGCCAUUAGCUCAAAUCAACGGACCUGUCCUAGUCUAAUUGAACUUUUGACCCAUUUCACCUGUCUUAAUCUAGUUUUUGAGCCUUCGGCUUGAGGAUCGAGCCACCUAUAUUAAAUUUACAACGUUGGUUUCGAGGCUCAAAUGAAUGAAUAGUGAAAGAAAUAAAUAAAUAAACAAUAAUAAAACAAAAACAAUAAAUAAAUAACGAUAACAAAUAAAUAAACAGAAAUGAGGCUCGGGUUUCAUCGUCGCUUCAAGAAUGGGACUUUAACUAAUUUCCCUUCUUUCGACUCCUCGUAUCCAUAUGUGCUUGUCUUUUCGGGUCUUCAAAUUCGACUCAAGACUGAGUGGGCCUCAAAAAAAACCUCAAGGGCACGUAAGGAACAUGCAAAGGUAAAGAGACUCCAUGCAAAACUCGAGCGUAUCCACAUGCAAAUGCAAAGGGAAAGUAGAGUAAUUAAUGAAUGUCCUAACACUAAUAUUCAAACAAAAAUGCUAGAAUAUCACUCAUCUUAUUUAAUAAUAGGCAGAUAAUAUAAAAAAAAGACAUGUUAACUUAGCAAAAGUAAUGUCACUUGAAAGAGAAAAUAGUAUCGAUCCGGAUAAUUGGCAUGCAUGCUCAAGAAGUGAAAAGCAGAAAUUUAACAUCAAAAUGUAAAAGAAAUCAAAACAUGUCCAGAAUACGGAUACAAAAAGAAGUAAAUUGAUUAACACAUUCAAAAGCUACUAAUUAAAUACUACCUUAUUCAAAAAUCAAUUUUAAAAGUAAAAGUGCCAAAUGAUAUCUCGCAACAUCCUUCUACUUUGACCAUUUGAGGCAUCCAAGUUUCAACAAUAAAUGAAAUAGACCAAACAACAAGCAACAAUGAAAACAAAAUAAGGAAGAGAUACUAGAUAUUCAAAUAAAAAAAAAGUAAAAAAAAAAACACCUUAAUGGCCUCAAACAUAAUGGAUAAUUCUUCUUGACCCUCCGAGGUUCAAGCAUUAGUGCAGACAACAUGCUAAAAUAAAGCACUCAUAGAUCAGGCAACACGUUGAUAAGAUUAAACAUAUUCGAAAGCCUUGAAAAAAUAUUCAUGCUAUCGAGUGUUCAUGGACAUCCCAAAAGCAAAAGAGAACAAAGAGUAAAACAGGAAUCAAAUGGAACCUGAAACAUGAGAAAUAAAAUCUUGAACACAUUCUGGUCAUAAAAACAACAUGUGGAUAGACCAAUCCCCAAGAAAUAAUUCACGAGAACAACCAACAAUUGACAUAAUCUAACAAGGAUCAAUUUCUAACCAGACUUAUUUUCUUAGAAGAUUAAAGUUUUCAUAUUCCAUGACUAACCUGAACCAACAGGGUGAAUAAAAACCAUCAGCAUUGACUUUAGAUAGAGAACAGAAUCUAGAAAGACCAAAGUGAAUCAAAACUAAACUACACUUAAAAAAGGCGCAAAUAGGCUGGAAUAUUCGAACAUCAAGACAGCGAGUCGAAUCGUGAUACUCAAAAAGUGAGAAUAACAUAUUGGGAUGAAUGAAAUCUAAUGUUACAGUAGUUUUAAGAGCAAGCACAACAACAAAUCAUGAAAUUUAAGCAAAAUUUAAGCCUUUCAACUCAAAAUUUUGAACAAAUCCAUAGAAAAUUACACAUUUCGGCUUUCAUCCGAUAAAAUUCAAGCAAGACAAUAAUCUAAGACCUUGCAACGGGAGUCUUUAACUCAGGAUAAUACAACGAACAAGGAAAGACAACAAUUUGAUGAUAUACGAGGCUUUAACCAGUCAACAUAUUAACAUGAAAAACUGUGUUCAAAGAAACCAAAUGUGGAAUGACCUAUGAUUCAACAAACAACAUAACGAUCAAUACAAUCUAAUCCUACAGCCGACGAGGCCUUCUACAACUACUCGCAGCACAAAAUAACAUUGAAAAAAAGUUAUUUAUAACUACAGAAGGUCUAGAUGAAGCAGAAAUAAUUGAAACUUGAACGGAAAAGGAUAUUACCUGUUAAGGAGCAACAAAACGGGACAACAAGCUAUCGUCAGGAUUCCGAUUGCGACCCAAAGAGCUUCGCUGCUAUUCCGAUGAUCUUUUCAAAAAUAUUUUUUAAUAAAGGAAUUGAUUGUGCUCUAAAAUUUUUCUUCUACUUUUUUUAAGAAUUUCCAACCCCCCCCCCCCCCCCCCCUUCUUUUUUUUUUGCUCUAAAGAAAGCUAUUUGUAGAAUAUGAAAAAUAGGGUCCCCUUGGAGCUCAACGAUGUGGAAAAAAUUGAAAUAGGGGGUAAUUUUAGAAUUUUUGAAAUAGGAUCUUGCUUUUGAAAUUCAAACCCAGGAACAAUUUUCAGCCCCUAAGUUGCACCAAAAUUUGAAUUUUUUUGGAGAAUUUGAGAAAAUAGGCAACCAAUAGAAAUUGGGAGAAGGAAAUCAUCUUCAAGAACCAAUGGAAUUCUCCUAAAUAUGUACGAAUUUGUAGGGAUUAAUCCAAAAUUUUAGGGACUUGAACGUUGGGAGGAGACAACUCACUAUAUUCUAGAAGAUUCGAGGAUUUUCUCGCGCAUGGAGGGGGGUCGAUUUGUUUGGAUUAUUGAUGAGUUGUUGGGGAUGUUAUCAGGUCAUUGGAUUCGGGUUGAGAGGAGUUGGCGUUGCUGGAGAUGGGUCAGGUUCGGCUGGUGUCGUGUUUGUGGAAUUGUAGGCGGGUAUUGAGGGUGUAGUUGUACGCUAUUGUUGAAAAUUGUUGUUGUUUGUUUUAUGUUGAAGAAAAGGAUAUUAC
RNAcentral lists this long non-coding RNA (4189 nucleotides) under Capsicum annuum. RNAcentral describes it as "long non-coding RNA (CANN_LNC008919)". Lineage: Eukaryota; Viridiplantae; Streptophyta; Magnoliopsida; Solanales; Solanaceae. The record is from RNAcentral.